RNAcentral lists this ribosomal RNA (253 nucleotides) under uncultured bacterium. RNAcentral describes it as "partial 16S ribosomal RNA". It matches the Rfam family "Bacterial small subunit ribosomal RNA", at positions 524 to 776 of the family's 1533-position model. The record is from RNAcentral.
UACGUAGGGGGCAAGCGUUGUCCGGAAUCAUUGGGCGUAAAGCGCGUGUAGGCGGCCAGAAAAGUCCGCUGUGAAAACUCGAGGCUCAACUUCGAGCUGUCGGUGGAAACUUUCUGGCUAGAGUCCGGAAGAGGAGAAUGGAAUUCCUGGUGUAGCAGUGAAAUGCGCAGAUAUCAGGAAGAACACCCGUGGCGAAGGCGGUUCUCUGGGACGGUACUGACGCUGAGACGCGAAAGCGUGGGGAGCGAACAGG